This 770-nucleotide unclassified non-coding RNA is filed under the name Hevea brasiliensis (rubber tree). The record is from RNAcentral. Lineage: Eukaryota; Viridiplantae; Streptophyta; Magnoliopsida; Malpighiales; Euphorbiaceae.
AGCGUAUGAAGUUCCCUCAAUCUGCAACCAAAUAUAAUAAAUCAGAAAGAGCAUAAUUAUGCUUCUGAUGAACCAAUACAAACAAUAAGGCCACCACCAGCCGGCAUGGCAACUUGAAGUAACACACAAAAGGAAUCUUCUAUGUCAUGGCAACUUGAAGAUUUAUUUCAUACAAUGACCUUAUUACAAAGAGCAAAAGGGAGGGUUAUUUAUCGGCUUAAAGCUCAAUUACACACCUAGGUUUAAAGCUCAAUUACACACCUAUAUUGUUGGAGAAAUUUAAUUUAGUUUAUUUUCAACUUUUUGUCCAAUUUAGUCCAAAAAUUUCAAUUUAAUCUCAAUUUAUCCCAAAAAUCAAGAAAUUGAGCUUCUUGAUUUUUGAGCUUAAAUCAAGAAAUUUCGUUCCAAAAUUAAGAAAUUAAACUUCUUGAUUUUUUAUCUAAAUCAAGAAAUUAAGAAAUUCACCAUAAAUUUUAAUUUUUAGGCUAAAUUGAACUUAAAUUGAAACUUCUGGGUUAAUUUGAACAAAAAGUUGAAAAUAAGCUAAAUUGAAUUUUCCCAAUAAAUACAGAGUUAAAUUGAACAUUUUGCCGUUGUUUAUCUAUUCUCAAAAGUUAAAUGUAUAAAUUUUAAAAUAACACUUUAUUUUUUGCAAGUACGAUUCUAUAUUGUCUUUAAACAAGAUCUAAAACCUAACCUUUAGGGAGAUUAGGUACAAGUCACAGCUUGCUAACAUCACUGCAUACCUGGCAAUUUCAGCUCUCCUUUUA